This 359-nucleotide ribosomal RNA is filed under the name uncultured bacterium. RNAcentral describes it as "bacterial SSU rRNA". It matches the Rfam family "Bacterial small subunit ribosomal RNA", at positions 29 to 416 of the family's 1533-position model. The record is from RNAcentral.
AACGAACGCUGGCGGCAUGCCUAACACAUGCAAGUCGAACGAGACCUUCGGGUCUAGUGGCGCACGGGUGCGUAACGCGUGGGAAUCUGCCCUUUGCUUCGGAAUAACAGUUAGAAAUGACUGCUAAUGCCGGAUGAUGUCUUCGGACCAAAGAUUUAUCGGCAAAGGAUGAGCCCGCGUAGGAUUAGGUAGUUGGUGGGUAAAGGCCUACCAAGCCGACGAUCCUUAGCUGGUCUGAGAGGAUGAUCAGCCACACUGGGACUGAGACACGGCCCAGACUCCUACGGGAGGCAGCAGUGGGGAAUAUUGGACAAUGGGCGCAAGCCUGAUCCAGCAAUGCCGCGCGAGUGAUGAAGGCC